Molecule: long non-coding RNA, 2877 nt
Organism: Dreissena polymorpha
Lineage: Eukaryota; Metazoa; Mollusca; Bivalvia; Myida; Dreissenidae
Exons: 3
Source: RefSeq, a predicted model, not a curated record
UAUAAAAGAUAUAAAGAACUCAAUGUUUUCAUUUUUGUGGGAUUAUAAACCAGAUAAAAUUGCGAGAAACAAAAUUGUUCAAAACUACAAAAAUGGAGGACUCAAAAUGAUUGAUCUUGAAAAUUGUAUGGACGCACUAAAAUCAAGCUGGGUAAAACGGAUGUUAUAUCAACCAACUACAAAAUGGGUAAAAAUUUACAGUGACAUGCUUGAAAAUAAUGGCAAUCUCUUUAUCUUUAAAUGCAACCUAAAAUCAUCAAACAUAGACUCUUUGGAAUUGAAAUCUAAAUUUUUAACUGAAUGCUUAAAAGGAUGGUGCCGCGUGAACUAUAAAGAAAAACAGACAAUCAUAGGGAAAGAUAUACUCUGGAACAAUUCAAACAUAUUACUAUUUAAUAAAACAUUUUUUUACAAAACAUGGUUCAAUCGAGGUAUUACACAAAUAGAACAUAUCUUUAACUACAGGAACAAACAUUUUCAACUUUCACAGAACUUCAAGAAUGAUAUGAUUUGCCCCAUUCUGAUUUUUUAAAAUACCACACGUUAGUUGGUUGUAUACCAAAAUGCUGGAAAGAAAAAAUGAACAAUGAAGAAAUGUCAUACGUGCCACCUAGUUACCUAAUUAACAGUAUCACCCCGGCAACAAAAAUAUGCAAAUUUAUAAACAAACUGUUAAUAGAGGAUACACAUAUAAAAAACAACAAACAAGAACACAAAUGAGAAAUGCUUUUUAAUAAACAGUUACAUUGGGAAUCAAUAUUUACAAAUUAUAUUCAAAUCACAAUCGAUUCCUCCUUAAGAACGUUCCAGUAUAAAUAUCUGAUGAACAUUGUUCCCAACAACGAAAAUCUGUUAAAAUAUGGCAUUGUAGAAUCUAGUCUCUGUGAUUUAUGUUCAAUGUCUGUUGAAACUUAUAUGCAUUUGUUUUGGAAUUGUCCUAAUGUUCAUAGUUUUUGGAACAACAUUGAGACAUAUAUAGAAACCCAACUAAGCAUUUCUACUGAUUUCAAAUUGUCUUAUGAAUGUAUUUCACUUUGUAAUAUUUUUAUCAACAAUAGGAACUGCUCAAACUGUGUCAAUUUUAUUGUAUUACUAGGAAAAUAUUUUAUAUUUAAAUGCAAAUAUCAACGAUGUCCACCAAUUUUUGAAAGUUUUUUGGAAUAUUUUAAAUACAAAAUAAAAAUCGAAGUGAUAAUCGCAAGCUGGAAGGGUAAAACUGAAAACAUACUCAGAAAUGGAAUAAUUUUGUAAUGUAAUUCUGUUUUCUUAAAUUUCAGGGGAAAAAAAAAAGAUAAAUAUGUUAAUAUUUCUACUUCAUAUGCUUUUCUUCUUGUAUAGGUUUGUGUCCUUUAUUGUUCAAAACAUACCACCUUUUUUAUUUCCAUUAUCAUUUUCAUUUUCAUGUAUUCCAUAUGUAUAUAUAUAUGUACUUUUUCCUGUGUAAAAUGAUUGUAUGUGCAUAUAUUUUGUAAUGAAUAAAGUACUAAAAACGGAAAAAAAAACAAAAAAAAAACAUUAACUCCGAAAAAAAUAAAUAAAUAAAGGUUGUGCACUUCCAGGUACUAGUAUAUACCAUGUAUCAUGUAGGCUGGUUGUGCACUUCCAGGUAUAUAUCAUGUAUCAUGUAGGCAGGUUGUGCACUUCCAGGUAUAAACCAUGUAUCAUGUAGGCAGGUUGUGCACUUUCAGGUAUAUACCAUGUAUCGUGUAGGCUGGUUGUGCACAUCCAGGUAUAUACCAUGUAUCAUGUAGGCAGGUUGUGCACUUCCAGGUAUAUACCAUGUAUCAUGUAGGCUGGUUGUGCACUUUCAGGUAUAUACCAUGUAUCAUUUAGGCUGGUUGUGCACUUUCAGGUAUAAACCAUGUAUCAUGUAGGCAGGUUGGGCACUUCCAGGUAUAUACCAUGUAUCAUGUAGGCUGAUUGUGCACUUCCAGGUAUAAACCAUGUAUCAUGUAGGCUGGUUGAGCACUUCCAGGUAUAUACCAUGUAUCAUGUAGGCAGGUUGUGCACUUUCAGGUAUAUACCAUGUAUCAUGUAGGCUGGUUGUGCACUUCCAGGUAUAUACCGUGUACCAUGUAGGCUGGUUGUGCACUUCCAGGUAUAUACCAUGUAUCAUAAAGGCAGGUUGGGCACUUCCAGGUAUUUACCAUGUAUCAUGUAGGCUGGUUGUGCACUUCCAUGUAUUUACCAUGUAUCAUGUAGGCUGGAUGUGCACUUCCAGGUAUAUACCAUGUAUCAUAAAGGCAGGUUGGGCACUUCCAGAUAUUUACCAUGUAUCAUGUAGGCUGGUUGUGCACUUCCAUGUAUUUACCAUGUAUCAUGUAGGCUGGAUGUGCACUUCCAGGUAUAUACCAUGUAUCAUAUAGGCACGUUGGGCACUUCCAGGUAUAUACCAUGUAUCAUGUAGGCUGGUUGUGCACUUCCAGGUAUUUACCAUGUAUCAUGUAGGCUGGAUGUGCACUUCCAUGUAUAUACCAUGUAUCAUGUAGGCUGGUUGUGCACGUCCAGGUAUAUACCAUGUUUCAUGUAGGCUUGUUGUGCACUUUGAGGUAUAUACCAUGUUUCAUGUAGAUUGGUUGUGAACUUCCAGGUAUAUACCAUGUAUCAUGUAGGGUGGUUGUGCACUUUGAGGUUUAUACCAUGUUUCAUGUAGGUUGUGCACUUCGCACUCCCAGGUAUAAACCAUGUAUCAUAAAAUUAUAGGCUUGUUGUGCACUUUCAGGUAUAUACCAUGUAUCAUAUAGGCUGGUUGUGCACUUCCAGGUAUAUACCAUGUAUCAUGUACGCUGGUUGUGAACUUCCAUGUAUAUAUCAUGUAUCAUGUAGGCCGGUUCUGCACUUUCAGGUAUUUACCGUGUAUCAUGUAGGCUGGUUGUG